AGAUGGGUCGUUCGACAUUACGUGCGAAUGGAAUUAUGAACCGCUGGUUCAUUCGCAAAGGUGAGUCACGGUGCCGUGGCAUUUUACUUCAUAUUAGAACGAGAAGGAGAGGUGAAGUGUGAACGCACCAGAAAACAAUUGACGGGAGGGGGAAGAAAGGAGAAGGAGUGUAUGUAUUUGCAGCGCGAAAUGAAACAGGUGCGAUCAUA
Molecule: long non-coding RNA, 209 nt
Filed under: Carica papaya (papaya)
Lineage: Eukaryota; Viridiplantae; Streptophyta; Magnoliopsida; Brassicales; Caricaceae
Description: long non-coding RNA (CPAP_LNC016010)
Source: RNAcentral